AUUUGUUGAAGCUGAAAGGCAGCCUACGACCUAGGACGUCACAGCCAGAGCUGCGUCUGGCAAGGUGCCAUGGCUAGCUCUCCACAGAAGUGGCUGAGGAUUUGAGAUAAGGCUGGAGAGCGACAAGGAGCAGCACAUGCAGUGAUGGUUUCCAAGCGCUGCGGUUGCUCUCUUCUGAUUAUCAGGUGCCACAGGCAAGGUGAAGAGGUGCCUGAAGCCCCGACCCGUGUGGGCUGAGGAUGCCUCACUGAGGAUGAAGCCUGCUUUCCAGCAGGUCCCAAAGCUGUGUUGGGGCUGAAAUGCUGUGUCUGUAUUUGGGUUGGGGUUGUGCCUUGGUGAGUGUGGGGUUGGGUUUUAAGUAGGUGCAGCAGAUAUGUAUAUAAAUGAAAUUCACAUAAAUGAUAUAUGACGAA
This is a long non-coding RNA of Oxyura jamaicensis (ruddy duck), 413 nucleotides long. RefSeq lists it as uncharacterized. The transcript has 3 exons. Lineage: Eukaryota; Metazoa; Chordata; Aves; Anseriformes; Anatidae. The record is from RefSeq and is a predicted model, not a curated record.